GGGAGAGGAAGCGUAAGAAGCGAAGAUAAGUGACAAGGAUGAUGCCAAGUACACGAGGAGUGGGAGGUCACACGAGGCAGUGGUGGAGUCUGUAAGAUGUUUCCCAGUUGGCAACACCACAUUGAGGCUUUUUUCCCUGAACAAUAACUGACUCAGUCAGGCAGCCUGGCAAGUUGCUGCUCAGCCAGAUGCAACAGAUCACCGGUUAAUUAGUCAACCUGUACAGACGGGCUGGUGUUCCAUCUUCUCUCUCACUGUGAGCCUCCCACUGAGAUUGAUUCACUGCUGCCCGGACACCCAGGCCCCUUCAGGUCAUUAAAAAGUCGUUACCAUCCUGUGUGCAAAGUCUGUGCCUCUGAAAGCAGUUUUCUGGAAACAGCAUAAGAAAAAUCAUUCUCUUUGCAAAAAUGCUAUCAUUCAUAUGUGAAGGUGAUGCCAUCUGAUCAUCCCCAGAGACUGCACUCUUGGCCCAUGUCCUCGGUGGGGGUGGGGGUGGGGGUGGGGGGUGUUUUGCUCCCACACCCACGUGGCUCCCCUGGUGAGUCUGCUGGAUGGGAUGCAGCCCGUGGGCUGGGGCCAGGGCUACAGAGGGAGGCCCUGUGGGGCUUCAACCCCGGGCCUGGGCUCCCACAGGCAAACCUGUCACUUCUGAGGUGAGCUGUGUGACUGACAGACUGGCAUCCUUCCUCUGGCAGGUCAGAGGAAGCGAGGGGUCCACGCUGCGUGGGGCAGCAGAGGCCCAUCCCUGUUCCUAAGGGACGCACACACUGAGUCUGGGCCACUGCCUGCUUCUCAGACCAGCCCUCCAGGAAAGGGAGACAGAGCCAGGACAAGUGACAGCAGCCGCUGACAACUAUUAUCUUCCAAUCGGUUUCAGAAAAAUGACUGGAGUGGAGAGGGGCUGGGUGUGGAGGAGGUGCAGACUGUGUUCUUAGAUUUCUAGCUGCAUGCCUAUCAAAAAAAUCCUUACGUGCUUCUGGACAUAGAGGUAAAACUUGGCUCACGGUCUUCAACAACAUGCUUGUGGCUCUGAGAGUGCUGGGGGAUCCAAAUGAUGCCUCCUGAGGUCCCACCUGUCCUCCUCUCACAACAGGGCUGGGAGCCCAAGGCAGUGAAGGGAGGGAGAUCUCACGGGAGUCGCCUUGGGCAGAGCCGGGCUCCCUGGGCAGCGGGCUCACGGCUUGGGCGCGUGUGCCCCCUGCCUGUGCCUGGGGAAGCAGGGCUGGCAGGGCAGCAGCCCAAGCGGGAGGGAGCAUUUGUGGAGUAAUAAGAUCAGAAGGCCUCAAUUUAAUACCAAUCCUCCAUUACACCGCAUUAAUAUCUAAUCACAUUAGAGUUCAUUUUCACUAACACAGCCUGAGAGUUGCAAGAUGAUUUCAUUUUCAGCAAAACUGGAUACCGACCCUAAAACAAAAUAUCAGGAGGAAGGGAUGCUGGUUAGGGUGAGAUAAUGAGCAUCUCUCCCUACCCAAGUAUCAGAUCCCAUUUCCCCUCAACUUCUUGCAAACAACUUUAAAUGCUGCUCGAUGGGGACAUGAUAAGGUGGCCCCGGAAGUCCUUGUCACGUUGGGGCCGUGUAUGCAAUCACCAUGCAACUGGAGGACGGCUGCUGAGCCGCGAUCUCACAGCGCCAGGAAACUACAGCCAUCACUCAGUCCACACGAGGCUCCACUGCCAUAUUUAUUGAGCUUUACUGACAGCUGUAUAAAAUAUGCCUCCUUGCCAAGUACCCUGAGUCCCUUCCUUAGCAGGCAGCAUGCCCAGGGAGGCAACGGAGUCUUAGGGGCAUGGCACCCAGUUUGGCUCACGGCCAUGACUGGGUGACGGAGGAAGUGUCUGCACAGGAGCAACGGGUGUCAAAGCAUAUGUGGUCUCUGCUUCGAGCACGUACACUAAAACAGAAAGCCCUACCCUGGACUGAAGUCCCAAGCUGUUACUCGCAGGAGGGGCUCUCGACCACAGGAACCACUCCCCGCCUUGAGCUGCAGGCUCAAGAACAGGCUCCCCCCCGGUUACAGAAGUAACCUCACCUGGAGUGCGCUCCGGAGGACCGGGGAGUGUAAAUAUGUAUCUACACACAGAUGUGUUCAGAGGGAGAUCCGAAAGAAUGUUUGUCAAAAUGUUGAUCAGGAUUUUAGCUUUGGAUGAAAGAAUUCCCAGAGAAAUUUACUAUACUUUUGUACUUUUCUGCACUGUCUGAAUUUGGUAGAAUGUAGAGGUAAGCAUUUUUGAAAAGUACCUGUCCUGCCUACUACUCAAGGUUUUAACACAGAUCACGUGACAUGAAGCAAGUGAACAUGCCAAUGCUAUAUUAUUAUGCAAGAUAUUUCUAGUGGGGGGAACGGGGCAGGGCAAGGGGGGUGACAGUCAAGACAGGAGGCUUUGAUCCUGGCCCUUCAUGAACUAGAGGUGGUACGGCACACUGGUUGACAACAUGGGCUCUGGGUCAGAAUCUCAGUUUUGCACUUUUACCAGCUCUGUGACCUUAGGCAAGCUGCUUAACCUCUCUGGGCUUCAGGCUCCUCAUCUGUAAAAUGAAGAUAAUAAAAAUAUCUAGCUUUUUUGGGUAAAGAUUAAAUAUAUUAACAAGUAUAAAACAUCUAGAACCAUGUGCUAAGUACUAAAGCACUAAAAAUGGUACUGUUAUUACUACUGGAGAUGGUAUUGUUAUUACUACUAAAUUACUAUUAGCCAAAAGAGUCUGGACAGGACACACUGCUUUCCUGGGCCUCAUCUGGGAGUCACCAAGUUUGUUACUAUGUGAUUUACUGACUACUGCAGAGGUUCCCAGGGGUACCCAUGGCACCCCAUCAGCACCCAUUUCUUGGAGGCAGUCAAGGUGGCUGGGCUUUGGAGGAAUUAUGCAAGCAUUUCUUGAAUAUACUCUUGAACCUGACACCUGAGUGUUCCAGGGGAUCCACGCAAGACGUAGUG
Molecule: long non-coding RNA, 2934 nt
Organism: Herpailurus yagouaroundi (jaguarundi)
Lineage: Eukaryota; Metazoa; Chordata; Mammalia; Carnivora; Felidae
Exons: 3
Source: RefSeq, a predicted model, not a curated record